This 391-nucleotide ribosomal RNA is filed under the name uncultured bacterium. Its description in RNAcentral is "bacterial SSU rRNA". It matches the Rfam family "Bacterial small subunit ribosomal RNA", at positions 505 to 898 of the family's 1533-position model. The record is from RNAcentral.
GUGUCAGCAGCCGCGGUAAUACGGAGGGUGCAAGCGUUAUCCGGAUUCACUGGGUUUAAAGGGUGCGUAGGUGGGCAGGUAAGUCAGUGGUGAAAUCCUGUAGCUUAACUACAGAACUGCCAUUGAUACUAUCUGUCUUGAAUACCCUGGAGGUGAGCGGAAUAUGUCAUGUAGCGGUGAAAUGCUUAGAUAUGACAUAGAACACCCAUUGCGAAGGCAGCUCACUACGGGAAUAUUGACACUGAGGCACGAAAGCGUGGGGAUCAAACAGGAUUAGAUACCCUGGUAGUCCACGCCCUAAACGAUGAUCACUCGACAUCAGCGAUACACUGUUGGUGUCUGAGCAAAAGCAUUAAGUGAUCCACCUGGGAAGUACGAUCGCAAGAUUGAA